UAGGGUGGCAGAGCCAGGUACAUUGCAAGAGGCCUAAGCCCUCUACCCCAGAAGUUCAAAUCUUCUCCCUAAAA
Molecule: transfer RNA, 74 nt
Filed under: Hoplodactylus duvaucelii (Duvaucel's gecko)
Lineage: Eukaryota; Metazoa; Chordata; Lepidosauria; Squamata; Diplodactylidae
Description: tRNA-Leu
Source: RNAcentral